RNAcentral lists this transfer RNA (69 nucleotides) under Agelena silvatica. Its description in RNAcentral is "tRNA-Ala". The record is from RNAcentral. Lineage: Eukaryota; Metazoa; Arthropoda; Arachnida; Araneae; Agelenidae.
AAAUGAAAUUACUUAUGAAGUUUAUAACUGAUUUGCAAUCAGUUAAUAUGUUGUACAUACUUCAAUAUA